AAACAUCAUUUCGAGGAUCAAGGGGGUUGGAUCCACUUAAGAUGCGUUGAGAUUUGCGCAUGUAGUACCUUCAGAGUACGUCUUUAAUACCAAUUCAAUGGAUGCGUGUAGGCACAAUGUUGCAUCUUUACCAAGAUCAACAGUGAAGGAGAUGUCCUGUCUUAAUACAAUGUGCUAAGUACAAUGAAGCGCAAAGUUGAACUUAGAUAUGGAAUUUCGGAUUCCAUACCUCUUCAAGGGUCUCAUAUACAUAUAUCGUAUGGAUGAUCAUAGGUAUACUUAAAGGUAACACAUUCAGUUUGUAGUUCGAAUGGUAGACCAAAAUACCGUCAGAACAACGCUUGAACUUCAGGUCAAAGCAUAAACGAGUUUUCCCAAGAUCCUUCAUCUCAAAUUCCAUCUUCAGGUGCGAGGCAGUUUUCUCAAGCUCUUCCAGAGUCUUAGUGAGAUGUAUGUCAACGACAUAAACUGCAACUCUAGCAAUUUGGAAUAAGACUUCAUAGUUUAACACGCAAGGGCAUAAUUCAUAUCCCUAACUGAUCA
This 543-nucleotide long non-coding RNA is filed under the name Malus domestica (apple). RNAcentral describes it as "long non-coding RNA (MDOM_LNC012416)". Lineage: Eukaryota; Viridiplantae; Streptophyta; Magnoliopsida; Rosales; Rosaceae. The record is from RNAcentral.